UGAGGAAUAUUGGGCAAUGCCCGCAAGGGUGACCCAGCAACGCCGCGUGGAGGAUGAAUGCCGUAAGGUUGUAAACUCCUGUUAGAGGGGACGAAUGAUUCCGAUUGUAUCGGAAGUUGACUGUACCCUCAGAGAAAGCCCCGGCUAACUACGUGCCAGCAGCCGCGGUAAUACGUAGGGGGCAAGCGUUGUCCGGAUUUACUGGGUGUAAAGGGCGCGCAGGUGGGCUUGAUAGUUAGAGGUGAAAUCCUGUGGCUUAACUGCAGAACUGCCUUUAAUACUUCAAGUCUUGAGUGCGGAAGAGAGAGACGGAAUUCCAGGUGUAGUAGUGAAAUACGUAGAUAUCUGGAAGAACACCAGUUGCGAAGGCGGUCUCUUGGUCCGUAACUGACACUUAGGCGCGAAAGCGUGGGGAGCAAACAGG
Molecule: ribosomal RNA, 424 nt
Filed under: uncultured bacterium
Lineage: Bacteria
Description: bacterial SSU rRNA
Rfam family: Bacterial small subunit ribosomal RNA
Source: RNAcentral